UUAAAAUUUAAAUUUAGUUUGGUAAUUUAGUGUUAUUUUUUAUUAAAUAUAAGAGUUUUUAGAAAAGAGGGAGUAAUAAUUAAUUUUAAUUAUUUAGGAAGUUAAGAAUUAGAAAUAAUAUGUAGUUUUAACUUUAUUUGUGCCAGCAGUUGCGGUUAUACAAAUAAAGCAAUUAAAUUAGGUUGAUUUUAAUUGAUAGAUAUUUUUAUUUUAUAAUAUUAAAUUUUAGAUGAAAUUUUAUUUAUUAUUUAAAAUAUUCUUAUUUAUAUGAAGUUAAAAAAGAUUAAUAUUAAACUAGGAUUAGAUACCCUAUUAUUUAAUUAGUAGUUGUAAAAAUUAAAUUAUUAAUAGUUAAGUUCUUUAAAAUUAAAAAUUUUGGCGGUAUUUUAGUCUAUUCAGAGGAACCUGUACUAUAAUUGAUAAUCCACAAUUUAUUUUACUUUGUUUAUUAGUUUAUAUAUCAUUGUAAAAAAUAUUUUAAAAAAUUAAUGUUUAAAAUUUUUUAUAAAAAAAUAGUUCAAAUCAAGGUAUAGUUUAUAAUAAAGAAUGUUAUGGGUUACAUUUAAGAUAUUAAGAGAUAAUUAUUUGAAAAAUAAUUUGAACUUGGAUUUGAAAGUAAAUUUACUAAAUUUAUUUUUUUGAUUUAGCUCUAAAAUAUGCACAUAUCGCCCGUCGCUUUCAAUUUGAUGAAAUAAGUCGUAACAAAGUAGAUUUACUGGAAGGUGAAUCUAGAUUAUC
Molecule: non-coding RNA, 738 nt
Filed under: Agasicles hygrophila
Lineage: Eukaryota; Metazoa; Arthropoda; Insecta; Coleoptera; Chrysomelidae
Source: RNAcentral